UAGGAACAGACACCGACAUGGCGACGUC
This 28-nucleotide small RNA is filed under the name Bombyx mori (domestic silkworm). RNAcentral describes it as "ovarian small RNA-22615". Lineage: Eukaryota; Metazoa; Arthropoda; Insecta; Lepidoptera; Bombycidae. The record is from RNAcentral.